UACGUAGGGGGCAAGCGUUGUCCGGAAUUAUUGGGCGUAAAGCGCGUGCAGGCGGCGGAUUAAGUCGGAUGUUUAAGAUCGGGGCUCAACCCCGAUUCGCAUCCGAAACUGGUCCGCUUGAGUGUAGGAGAGGAAAGUGGAAUUCCACGUGUAGCGGUGAAAUGCGUAGAGAUGUGGAGGAACACCAGUGGCGAAGGCGACUUUCUGGCCUAUAACUGACGCUGAGGCGCGAAAGCGUGGGGAGCAAACAGG
This 252-nucleotide ribosomal RNA is filed under the name uncultured bacterium. Its description in RNAcentral is "partial 16S ribosomal RNA". It matches the Rfam family "Bacterial small subunit ribosomal RNA", at positions 524 to 776 of the family's 1533-position model. The record is from RNAcentral.